UACGUAGGGUGCGAGCGUUAAUCGGAAUUACUGGGCGUAAAGUGUGCGCAGGCGGCUUCGCAAGUCGAGUGUGAAAUCCCCGAGCUUAACUUGGGAAUUGCGCUCGAAACUACGGAGCUGGAGUGUGGCAGAGGAAGGUGGAAUUCCACGUGUAGCGGUGAAAUGCGUAGAAAUGUGGAGGAACACCGAUGGCGAAGGCAGCCUUCUGGGCCAACACUGACGCUCAUGCACGAAAGCGUGGGGAGCAAACAGG
Molecule: ribosomal RNA, 253 nt
Filed under: uncultured bacterium
Lineage: Bacteria
Description: partial 16S ribosomal RNA
Rfam family: Bacterial small subunit ribosomal RNA
Source: RNAcentral